CAAGCUCCUGUACACAUCCUGCAGGCGCAUCUGAGCAUAACAAGAAACUUCUUCCAACUAAAACCCCAACUGUCGUUAUCACUCUUUCAUCUUAAACCCAAAUCGAGGGACUUCGCCAUAAAAUCAUAUCCAUAACCUAACACCAUUACUGUCCCAGAGUGAAGUUUCACUAUUUCACGGGGGGUUUUGGAAGCUUAAUGUGGAACUUCUGAAUCCUUAAUUCAAGAAUCAACGGCGAAGAUUACACAAAACGAUGUUGGAUAUAUUACCUGCAAGGAGUUCAGGAUCCAGAAUGCAAUGGAGCAGGUUACAGUAUAUGUCUGCAUAUAGAUUCAUGUAAAUAUUAUGUUCAGUUAAAACAUCAAGCAACUUAUGUAUAGUAGCAACUUGGCAUAUUGGAUAGAAAGACAGGUGAACUUGCUUAACUUCUCAAUGCUAUGGAGUAAAGGUCCCGUAAAACUAGAAUACAUUGCAGCAAAUUAAAAAUUGUUCACCUCAGUGGUUGGGAGUAUGGAACAGAGCAGAUGGAAACUCAAAAAAGGCUGGUAAAAAAAAAACUAAAUUACCUUCUUCCAUAGUACAAAUGGAGAAUAACAACUUACCUUAAUGAUCUGAACAGCAAGGAAAGCUAUCCACACAAACACCAGCAGUGUUAACUCUUUCCAGUAUAUGUUAUACAUCAAGGGAACCUGAAUGGAGAUUAUGAUGUCUCAAACAAGGAGAAACUAAUUUUAAGAAAGUUGUAAAGAGAAUUUUUAUGAAGAAAUUGAGAAAUUCAUGGGCUUACAUCUUCAUCUACCAAAGCAGCCGGACCACUUGGUAGUCGUUUGUAUUCCUCUCCAGAACCCUCUGCAAUUCCAGAGUGGACUCCAAUCGUUAAUGGAUUUCUGGAACAGACUGGACUUGGGUGAUAAUUCAAUCAAUUGAGAGGCCUUUUACUUUCUUAAUGCUCUCAUACAAGAGGCCAGAGUAUAAGCCUGGCUGCUUCCUGAAAACGACACAAAUCUCAAACUCCUCAUUAACAAGUCAGCGGCAAAGGAAAAAUAAAUCCGUUGAGACCUGUAUAAAUAAGGAUGAUAAGCAGAACAGUGACCAUCCAAUCAGCAAAGAUUACAUUGAAGGCAACUCCGAUGC
This is a long non-coding RNA of Cornus florida, 1134 nucleotides long. RefSeq lists it as uncharacterized. The transcript has 5 exons. Lineage: Eukaryota; Viridiplantae; Streptophyta; Magnoliopsida; Cornales; Cornaceae. The record is from RefSeq and is a predicted model, not a curated record.